RNAcentral lists this ribosomal RNA (443 nucleotides) under uncultured bacterium. RNAcentral's name for it is "partial 16S ribosomal RNA". It matches the Rfam family "Bacterial small subunit ribosomal RNA", at positions 339 to 795 of the family's 1533-position model. The record is from RNAcentral.
CUACGGGAUGCUGCAGUCGAGAAUCUUCCGCAAUGGACGAAAGUCUGACGGAGCGACGCCGCGUGGAGGAUGAAGUGCUUCGGUAUGUAAACUCCUUUUGCCAGGGAAGAAGUCUAUUGACGGUACCUGGAGAAUAAGAGGUUGCUAAACUCGUGCCAGCAGCAGCGGUAAUACGAGUGCCUCGAGCGUUAUCCGGAAUCAUUGGGCGUAAAGGGUGCGUAGGCGGCGAUGUUAGUCUCCCGUAAAAUUCCUCGGCUCAACCGGGGGCGCGCGGGAGAAACGGCAUUGCUAGAAGGCGGUAGGGGUCUCUGGAACUCAUGGUGUAGCGGUGAUAUGCGUUGAUAUCAUGGGGAACACCGAAAGCGAAGGCAGGAGACUGGACCGUUCUUGACGCUGAAGCACGAAAGCGUGGGUCGCGAAUGGGAUUAGAUACCCGUGUAGUC